Molecule: ribosomal RNA, 396 nt
Filed under: uncultured bacterium
Lineage: Bacteria
Description: partial 16S ribosomal RNA
Rfam family: Bacterial small subunit ribosomal RNA
Source: RNAcentral
AUACGUAGGUGGCAAGCGUUGUCCGGAUUUAUUGGGCGUAAAGCGAGCGCAGGCGGUCUUCUAAGUCUGAUGUGAAAGCCUUCGGCUUAACCGGAGAAGUGCAUCGGAAACUGGGAAGCUUGAGUGCAGAAGAGGACAGUGGAACUCCAUGUGUAGCGGUGAAAUGCGUAGAUAUAUGGAGGAACACCAGUGGCGAAGGCGGCUGUCUAGUCUGUAACUGACGCUGAGGCUCGAAAGCAUGGGUAGCAAACAGGAUUAGAUACCCUGGUAGUCCAUGCCGUAAACGAUGAGUGCUAGGUGUUGGAGGGUUUCCGCCCUUCAGUGCCGCAGCUAACGCAUUAAGCACUCCGCCUGGGGAGUACGACCGCAAGGUUGAAACUUAAAGGAAUUGACGGG